UACGUAGGGGGCGAGCGUUGUCCGGAGUUACUGGGCGUAAAGCGCUUGUAGGCGGUCCACCAAGUUUGGGGUGACAGUUGCCGACUUAAUCGGCAAAGUGCCUCAAAGACUGGCGGACUUGAGGGCCACAGAGGGACAUGGAACUCCAGGUGUAGUGGUGAAAUGCGUAGAUAUCGGGAAGAACACCCGUGGCGAAGGCGGCUAUCUGGGACGGUACUGACGCUGAGACGCGAAAGCGUGGGGAGCGAACAGG
RNAcentral lists this ribosomal RNA (253 nucleotides) under uncultured bacterium. RNAcentral describes it as "partial 16S ribosomal RNA". It matches the Rfam family "Bacterial small subunit ribosomal RNA", at positions 524 to 776 of the family's 1533-position model. The record is from RNAcentral.